UGUGGCAUGUGACAUUAUACUUCCUUACUGCACCUUCUCUGACUUGUUCAAGGAGCCGUCAGAGGCAUGUGAUAAGACCAUCUCCCUGCCUGCUUCACGCUGGGGUAAUCCUGUGUCUGAAGAAAUGCUGUGUCCUCGCAGGGGUCCCCAGCUGGCUUCAGGCAUCCCUAGGGCUCAGGUCACUUUUUCAAGAUCUCAGAAUCCAUCAUCAUGCCUGAGGAGCCUAAUGCCGACACUAAAUGGUUGCAAGAAUGAUGUCUCACUCUUACACAUGAGGACUAAAAGUGCUUACUGGUCAGAAGCAGAUCAGGAAGGACUCCUUGGUCCCCACCUUUCCUACCUGGGGAAGCCAUCUGAUUACAUAAUGGCAAAACUGGUCAUUUCUUUCUCUGUGGCCAGGAACUCAUGAACUGCCGCUGCUUUGGGAGUGUCAUGCUUUAUAGACUUUUUUCUUUUAAUGGACAGAGACUCGUUUAUCUAAUCACCACGGGCAUAUUUCACGACAGUCACAGAUAAAAUGCCCAGUCUUUUCACCCAGGCAGAUAGAACUUGGGUACUCUAAACAUCAUUAUGUGUCCUACUCCUGUGUAAAAUAUACUAACAUACUGACUGUGCCCUAACCAUCUCACCAGCAUCCAGAAGAGAUUGCAAGAGAUGCCACACUGACUUUUUUUGGCAGCCCUUACCACAUACACGGAGUUGUCCCUUGGUAUCUGCAGGGGAUUGGUACCAGGACCCCUCCCACACCACACACACACCAAAUUCCACGGAUGCUCAAGUCCCUUACAGUCAGCCCUGUGUAUCCGAGGUUCCACUUCGGUGGAUACAGAGGGCCCAGUGUACUUUAAUUCUCACAGCAAUCCUUUGAGGUAGGUACUGUGAUCCCCACUUCACAGUUAAGUAGCCAAGUCAGAGGAGCUAAAUAACCACCCAGAGGCCCUUGAUAAGUUUGAAGCCAGAGACUCAGAGCCUAAUGCUUCUCUUUGCUAUAGAUGGUUUACCAUCUAUAACUCACAAACGGGCACUUUAUUGAAUACAGUCUUGUUCUCUAAUUAUUUUUUGCACAUGCUUUUCACCUCAGCCAAACCUAAGUGACAGUGAGGACAGGGACAGUGUCUUUUAGCCCAUUAACUCAGCUUUCCAGCCUCAUUCCAGCAGCUUUCCUGUUAACUCUGAACUUUUGCCUAACUGCCAAUCAAAUUUUUUUUCUUAUUGGAAAAAAUUCACAACUUUUCUCAUAAAGGUAAAUAAUUUAACAUCAUAAUUUCCCUCCCCCUACUUUGUUGUUUAAUUUUGUUUUUCAUUUAUUAGCUUCUUAAAUUCUAAGCUUAUUUUCUUUUCAGUCCUUUAAAUAAAAGGCUUAACUUUUUAUCUAACUAUAUUUUUAGUACAAUCCCCAUAAUUCAGCGCACUGCAUUUUCAUUGUUAAUUUUAAAAUAGUCUAUAGUUGCAGUAGUGAUUUCCUUUUUGAUCCAAGAAUUAUUUAAAAGGACCAUAUCUUAGUUUCCAAGUGCUUGGAUGGAGGUAGGGGCAGGAGCCAUCUUGUGUAACUUUCAAUGCUAUGUUAUUGUUAUAUGUCUACUUUUUGGUUAGUUUAAGUUUCUUUGUGGUGUAGUAUUUCAUCAAUUUUUGAAAAUGAUCCAUGGUCUUUUAAAAAAACUGUGUAUACUUCCUAUUUGUUGAGUUAGGUUAAUAAUAAUAACUAUGUUAUUCAAAUCUUCUGUUCCUACUUAAUUUUAUUUACUUGAUAAAAUUCUGAAAGUAUUUUGUUAAAGUCUCCCACUAUGAUUAUGGAAAAGUUUAUUUACGCUUUAAAUUUUUUAAUUUAUUUUUAUUUGCAUUAUUUUGCUUGUAUUUUUAACAAAUUUUACUUUAAUUCAGUGCUAAAUGUUCAGUACAUAAAGUUUCAUUGUUAUUGAAUCUUGUUUGAUUUAUAUCUAUUCUUUUAUGUCUCGUUCAAUAUUUCUUUUUACAUUGAAUCCCACACUUUUUAGAAUUAAUAUUACUAUCCCUAUUUCUGUUUUGUUAGUUAGAAUUCACCAACCUAUCCCUUUAUUUUCUGACUUUCUGUGUAAUUUUGGUAUACAAAGAUUCCUAAAGACAGCAUUUAGCUGGAUUAUCUUUUUAAUCAAUCUGAGAGUCACUGAUUUUAAUAUAGGAAUUUAACCUAGUCACAUUUAUUGUUAUAUGUUUAUCUUAUGCUUGCUAUUUUAUCAUAUGGUUUUCUUCUUACUUUUUUUCCCUCUUUUCUUGACCUUUGCAGAUAGACUAUGGUUUUUAUUAUUGUAGCACCCCUAGCUCUGUGUGUGUGUUUUAAUAUCUAAUGGUUUAGAAAUCCUACCUAUAGUUUUUUCUAAAGAUCAAAUACAUGUGACCUUUCUUGGUGAACAUCAGAGAACUGCAUAGUAGGACCCUGUUAAUUGGUAAGGUCAGUCCAUUGCUUUGGGAAAUUUAAUGGCAGAUUCAUGUUAGUAGCAAUAAUAGAUUUUGUGUAUAUAUGGGAAUGACACUACAUAGGUAUUAGAAACCCUUCUAAAAGAGUAUGUGACCAGAUCUCCAUUUACUUCCCUUCUCCCUUCCUACAACAAGGACUGGCUACUACAGCUUUCACAAAUCUUGUGGAUGAGUGUGGGGUAGAGGGGCAGUCAAGAACCUAGUGGUUGGGAUACAGCCAGGAACAUCUUAAGGAAUGCUUCUGCAAAUUCUGGACUCUGAGACAUACAUGCACUUUGGAGAUCUGUAGAAGUAUCUGUAGAAGGGAGGUUGUCAGGGUGAGUUUCCUGCUACUUCACUUCCAGUCUCUAGAAGUCAUCAUCAGCUGAGAAAUCUAAUCUAGAAUUAGCUAAGAGUGCAACAGUAAGAUCACAAGAAUGUAAACAUACCCUCUAAAGAGGUGAAGAAUCCAAAUGAGAAAAUAAAUGUUGCUAGACCUGCUUAGGAGGCUAGAAUUCUGAGUUUCUUAAUGUCUAGUUAAGAAAGCUCAGUAAUCAACAAGAAUCCACCUUUUUUUUUUCCCCUAAAAAUGAGGUGGUUUCCACUUUUUUAAAACUUUGAUAUAGGUGCAGGGGUGAUGGAGAAAAUUCUGGCCAUAAAAUACCUAUGUAUGUGUAUUCUUUGUAUGUGCUUCUAUAAGUGCAUGUGUUUGAAUAAAGGUUAACAUUAAAAUUC
Long non-coding RNA from Orcinus orca (killer whale), 3168 nucleotides. RefSeq lists it as uncharacterized. NCBI's taxonomy places the organism in Eukaryota, Metazoa, Chordata, Mammalia, Artiodactyla, Delphinidae. The record is from RefSeq and is a predicted model, not a curated record. The transcript is spliced from 2 exons.